RNAcentral lists this ribosomal RNA (657 nucleotides) under uncultured bacterium. Its description in RNAcentral is "bacterial SSU rRNA". It matches the Rfam family "Bacterial small subunit ribosomal RNA", at positions 9 to 633 of the family's 1533-position model. The record is from RNAcentral.
GAGUUUGAUCCUGGCUCAGGAUGAACGCUGGCGGCGUGCCUAAUACAUGCAAGUCGAACGAAACUUCUUUAUCACCGAGUGCUUGCACUCACCGGUAAAGGGUUGAGUGGCGAACGGGUGAGUAACACGUGGGCAACCUGCCCAAAAGAGGGGGAUAACACUUGGAAACAGGUGCUAAUACCGCAUAACCAUAGUUACCGCAUGGUAGCUAUGUAAAAGGUGGCUAUGCUACCGCUUUUGGAUGGGCCCGCGGCGCAUUAGCUAGUUGGUGGGGUAAAGGCUUACCAAGGCAAUGAUGCGUAGCCGAACUGAGAGGUUGAUCGGCCACAUUGGGACUGAGACACGGCCCAAACUCCUACGGGAGGCAGCAGUAGGGAAUCUUCCACAAUGGGCGAAAGCCUGAUGGAGCAACGCCGCGUGGGUGAAGAAGGUCUUCGGAUCGUAAAACCCUGUUGUUAGAGAAGAAAGUGCGUGAGAGUAACUGUUCACGUUUCGACGGUAUCUAACCAGAAAGCCACGGCUAACUACGUGCCAGCAGCCGCGGUAAUACGUAGGUGGCAAGCGUUAUCCGGAUUUAUUGGGCGUAAAGGGAACGCAGGCGGUCUUUUGAGUCUGAUGUGAAAGCCUUCGGCUUAACCGGAGUAGUGCAUUGGAAAC